RNAcentral lists this ribosomal RNA (498 nucleotides) under uncultured bacterium. RNAcentral describes it as "bacterial SSU rRNA". It matches the Rfam family "Bacterial small subunit ribosomal RNA", at positions 30 to 524 of the family's 1533-position model. The record is from RNAcentral.
AUUGAACGCUGGCGGAAUGCUUUACACAUGCAAGUCGAACGGCAGCACGGGGCAACCUGGUGGCGAGUGGCGAACGGGUGAGUAAUACAUCGGAACGUGCCCAAUCGUGGGGGAUAACGUAGCGAAAGUUACGCUAAUACCGCAUACGAUCUACGGAUGAAAGCGGGGGAUCGCAAGACCUCGCGCGAAUGGAGCGGCCGAUGUCAGAUUAGGUAGUUGGUGGGGUAAAGGCUCACCAAGCCAACGAUCUGUAGCUGGUCUGAGAGGACGACCAGCCACACUGGAACUGAGACACGGUCCAGACUCCUACGGGAGGCAGCAGUGGGGAAUUUUGGACAAUGGGCGCAAGCCUGAUCCAGCCAUUCCGCGUGCAGGAUGAAGGCCUUCGGGUGUAAACUGCUUUAUACGGAACGAAAAGGUCCUGGUUAAUACCUGGGGCUCGAUGACGGUACCGUAAGAAUAAGCACCGGCUAACUACGUGCCGGCAGCCGCGGUAAU